CCUACGGGAGGCAGCAGUGAGGAAUAUUGGUCAAUGGGCGUAAGCCUGAACCAGCCAAGUCGCGUGAGGGAUGAAGGUUCUAUGGAUCGUAAACCUCUUUUAUAAGGGAAUAAAGUGUGGGACGUGUCCUAUUUUGUAUGUACCUUAUGAAUAAGGAUCGGCUAACUCCGUGCCAGCAGCCGCGGUAAUCCGGAGGAUCCGAGCGUUAUCCGGAUUUAUUGGGGUUAAAGGGUGCGUAGGCGGGCUGUUAAGUCAGCGGUGAAAGUCUGUGGCUCAAACAGAGAAUUGCCGUUGAGACUGGGGGGCUUGAGUAUGUUUGAGGCAGGCGGAAUGCGUGGUGUAGCGGUGAAAUGCGUAGAUAUCACGCAGAACCCCGAUUGCGAAGGCAGCCUGCCAAGCCAUGACUGACGCUGAUGCACGAAAGCGUGGGGAUCAAACAGGAUUAGAUACCCGAGUAGUC
RNAcentral lists this ribosomal RNA (460 nucleotides) under uncultured bacterium. RNAcentral describes it as "partial 16S ribosomal RNA". It matches the Rfam family "Bacterial small subunit ribosomal RNA", at positions 338 to 795 of the family's 1533-position model. The record is from RNAcentral.